UAAAAAUUCAAAAGAAGUAACUAAUCAGAGAUUAUGCAAUUUCCAACACAGCCAUCGUGUCCAACAGCACUACUUUUCACUGUUUGUAUCACUGCGCUUGUCUAUUUUUGUGGGGGGCGGCGACAGUGUACUGCCUAAAAUGAAAUUACAUAAGCGGUUUCCAUAACUGCUCCAAAUUCAAAAAUGAAACUAAAAUUAAAUCAUCUUUGAGAGCAAGGAGGCCCCCUGGUGUUCACGCAAAAGGAUGAUAUCCGCUUCGUCAUGCCUGGAGCUGAUCUGUGCUGGUCGCUGAGGAAAUACAUCAACUUCGCACUGUGGAUCGACAAAUCGGCUUUCACUGUGGACGAAGUGGAGUCCAGCCCGGGGUCGUCACAUGUGGUUGCCGCAAGCACAAGCUUUGGCAGUUUGAAGCUCACUGGAUUUUCCCCAUCUAUGCUCAAUCAGGAGAGCAAAAACAGAACCACAGAGAUUUUGCAGUCUUGUAAGAAGGACGAAGUCUCUCUCUGAUGACCACGUGAGGACUGACUUGCAGCCACAUUUGACAAUGAGGGAGCAGGCAGAGAGUAAAAACCAGGAUGUGUGCGUCAUUGAUGACAUCUUCA
Long non-coding RNA from Cyprinus carpio carpio, 602 nucleotides. NCBI's taxonomy places the organism in Eukaryota, Metazoa, Chordata, Actinopteri, Cypriniformes, Cyprinidae. The record is from Ensembl.